GACGAACGCUGGCGGCGUGCUUAACACAUGCAAGUCGAACGGAAAGGCCCUGCUUUUGUGGGGUGCUCGAGUGGCGAAAGGGUGAGUAACACGUGAGUAACCUGCCCUUGACUUUGGGAUAACUUCAGGAAACUGGGGCUAAUACCGGAUAGGAGCUCCUGCUGCAUGGUGGGGGUUGGAAAGUUUCGGCGGUUGGGGAUGGACUCGCGGCUUAUCAGCUUGUUGGUGGGGUAGUGGCUUACCAAGGCUUUGACGGGUAGCCGGCCUGAGAGGGUGACCGGCCACAUUGGGACUGAGAUACGGCCCAGACUCCUACGGGAGGCAGCAGUGGGGAAUAUUGCACAAUGGGCGGAAGCCUGAUGCAGCAACGCCGCAUGCGGGAUGACGGCCUUCGGGUUGUAAACCGCUUUCGCCUGUGACGAAGCGUGAGUGACGGUAAUGGGUAAAGAAGCACCGGCUAACUACGU
This 467-nucleotide ribosomal RNA is filed under the name uncultured bacterium. RNAcentral describes it as "partial 16S ribosomal RNA". It matches the Rfam family "Bacterial small subunit ribosomal RNA", at positions 28 to 506 of the family's 1533-position model. The record is from RNAcentral.